GCUUCAAAUGGGUACAGCACCAAUGGUGACGAAAGAGGCUAUGGCUAUGAACUUGCUCAAGUCCAGAGCAGCAAUGGGCGGGGUGACACUGAAGGUUCGUCAAAGACUGCUUUCAACUGAGCCCUGUAUUGCCCUUUCAAAAUAAAAAAGUGUAUCAAUUCA
Long non-coding RNA from Trematomus bernacchii (emerald rockcod), 162 nucleotides. RefSeq lists it as uncharacterized. The record is from RefSeq and is a predicted model, not a curated record. Lineage: Eukaryota; Metazoa; Chordata; Actinopteri; Perciformes; Nototheniidae. The transcript is spliced from 3 exons.